UUUCUUUUUUUAAAUUACUCUUUUGCUCCUGAACUCAACCAAAAAUAAGAAAAGAACCACAAAAUACAUCAAGUAAUAAUUGAUUCUUCACAUUCAUGGCUACCAUUACUUAGAAACAAAACUUGAACCAUACCAUUUCAGAAUCAAAAUCCUAACCUUAACUCAAUUUUCCCCUUUAACGACAUUGACGCACGUUCUGCAUUCCUCUCUGCUCGUCGUCGUCGUGUUCAUCACUGCUUAAGCUCGCGCCAUGUUCUACUCUGUUUGCGCCGUAUUCUUUUGCUCGCAUCGCGUUCUUCUAUAGUCUGAUCUAAUGUGUUCUUCUACCUGCGCCGUUUUGAAACUUUUGCUCUUCUCAGCAAUUUUGAAAUCUCUUCUCCACUCCACCGUUCUGAAACCUCUGAUUUGCUCCGCCGUGGUGCCGUGCUCUGUCCAUCGCAGGCAAGUCGACAACUCUUCGUCGUUCACCUCUUCCUCUCAAGCUUCUCGCCUCGGUCCUCGGGCAUCUCUUCCUUGAAGGCGCCGUCAUCCUUGAAGGCUUGCAUAGAUCUCUCAGGCAUGACAAAAAUUUCUUCCAGAUUUUUUACAUAAUUAAUUUGGUUGAAUUGUUGAAAUAACAAAACUAUUCAGAGACUUUUUUCUACUUCUUCUUCUUCAGUGUUCCAUGGUCCACACUUCAAUCCUGCAGAAUCAAGCCAUUUUCUCCACUUCUUAAUUUGAAGCCUUAAAAAAUGAAUAUCCAGUGAGGUAUUUUUUAUUCAUCAUUGAAUAUUAAUAUAAGUUAAUAAAUAACAAUUUUUAUGUGUGUGUUUUGCUGUCCAGGUUAGAGUCGGGAACAUUAUUGAAAAGCAAGGUUAGGUUUUUCCUUUUGAGUUCAUUCAUUAGUUAGUUUCUUAUUUAGAUGUUCAAUUGGUUUGCUCUGCGUUGCUCUAAUUCCAGGGCUUUGAGGUAUCUAUGCAUUGCUCAAAUAGCUUAAACUCGUUGCCAAUUAGUUAGUAUUCCUUCAUUUGAAAUUGAAUAUUGUUUAUCCAAAGUCACUCGCCUCUUUUGCCUUUGUUGUUAACCUCUUUUGACUAUUGUAACCAUUUUAUGUAUAUUUGUUAGUUCUACUGCUAUAAUCAGAGAGUAUAGGUUUUGUAAGUGCUUGUUUGGAUUUGUUUGCAUGCCUCUGAUUGUUAUUUAAUGUAUGAGUUAUAUAGAAAAAAAUUUGGCUGAAAAUUAGAUUGCAGAGUUAAACCAUUAUUGUUAUGCUCUACAUGUUUCUUCUUUUUUUUCUUUUUUCCUUUUUUUAGACAAGGACUUAAUUUGAAUAAAUUGUCAUUUUCAUUUAUUUGUAAAUUAAAGAAAAAGUAUGAUGUUAUUCACAUACUAGAUAUAGAUCAAUAUGUGGUACAAAUUGCACUACUGAAACAGCUAUACUAUAUCUUAGGAAGCUUCUAUUUUGUGAACACUUGUUGCUAAAGUAUUGAUAUUAUCCCUAUGAAGUGUGAACCAUACUUGGGCAUGAGCUCUUUCUUUAGAGGGAGCUGAGUCUUGUAGGAUGGACAAUGUAAACAAGCUUCCUUAAACUGUAGAUGAUAUUGGAUCAAGGGGAUUAGAAUGCUGGCGGCUACUGAGAUGCCAAAUCAUGGAAAACAAGCUUGUGUAAUUCCUGCUCAACUUGACUAAAAUUUACAGGUUUGCCAGAUUUUGCUGAAUUUACAGCUUUAUUGGAAGCGUUUUUGAUCCUGACACUAGAGGCCAUGUUCAUAAGGUGUAGGAAAUGGAUCCUAUAAAUUUUGAAACUGCUAUUUGUCAUAAUUGGUCAGAUGAGAAGUGCAUAACAGUGCUGAAAAACUGUUAUAAAGCACUCGAAGAGAAUGGAAAAGUGAUUAUCUUUGAGAUGAUCAUGCCUGAAGAACCAGAUUCAAGCAAUGCCUCUAAGCUUGUCUCUAUUGUUGACAAUUCUAUGUUCCUUCAUGCUGGAGGCAAGGAUAGAAUAGAGAAAGAAUUUGGGAAGCUAAGCAAAGACGGUUUGAAAUGUUCUUUCCUUCUUAAUAUUGCAAUCUUCAUCAGCUUAAUUAGAUUUUACUCUACUGUUUUGAUCUGUUGCUUGCUGCGUUGCUGGAUUGUGAUUCAACAAGUAAUUUAAGUAUAGCUUUCAACAAGUAAUUAGACUUUUUUAUAUGUAGUUGAAGCUUCUGGUAUAGAAUCAUAUCACAAACACUGAUUGUGAUAUAAACACAAGCAUGCACACUGCAUUAUGUGCUGAACUAGGAAGAUGAUUGUAGCAGGGAUUGGUUAUGAAUUUAUCAGACAAUUAGACAUGAUCACAUCACAUGAAUAUUAUUUCCAAGAAUCUAGCAUUUGAAUGCCAUAUAUCUGGUUCCCUUUAACCUUUCAGUUGAAUUAUAAGUUCACCUCCACAAGCUCCAUUUCAUAUUCACUGUAUAAUCCAAUAUACAAACACCAAAUGUGUAGUGUACUAAUAGGAGCUUCAGAAGAGACUCUAAUGCUUGUUGAACCUAUGGCUAGUGGUUGUGCCUGCUCAUACGAAUUUGGUCUUUAUGUGAUGUGCUACUGCUUGUUUUAAAUAAUAUUAUGUAGAUGAAUGUUAUUUAAAAGUAGUUUGCCUCCUUGGCUUGCACAGCACAACUGAUCCUACUACUGGAUUCAUAUCCAAAGAGUUGCCAAGUGAAUAGUGGCUAUUUUAUGUGCUGCUCCAAGGAAGCCUUUAGAUCCUAAAGUAUGAGCUGUGUGGAGUCUGGUGACAUUGAUCUAAGGCUAAGGCUAUUAAUCCUUAUUCUGCUUUUAGAUGGUGAGAUACUGAAGUUUGUCUUGCAAAGUCUAAGGCUAUUAAUCCUUAUUUUGCUUCUAGAUGGCACUCCACAGGCUGCUCUUGUCAAAGAUCCAGGUAUUUCUGUCAACCAUGUGAUUUGGAGUCCAGAUGGUGCUUUAUUCAGAGUUGCUUACUCAAGGCACAUUGUUUAGAUAUACUCUUAUCAUGGUGGCGAUGAAGUACGACAGCACCUGGAGAUUUAGCAUAUGGGACAAGUCAAGCAUGGAUAUAAAAUAUGCAAGUAAAUUGAUAUUUUUUUGAUAAAUAUUAAUUACUAUUUUGUUAUGACAAUUAUUGUUAGACAAAAAUUUUAUUAUUUUAUUGAGAAUUAUUGAUGAACAUGUAUUUGAAAUACUAAUUAAACCUUUUAAUAUCUAUUUUAAUUAGAAUUU
Non-coding RNA from Arachis ipaensis, 3210 nucleotides. NCBI's taxonomy places the organism in Eukaryota, Viridiplantae, Streptophyta, Magnoliopsida, Fabales, Fabaceae. The record is from RefSeq and is a predicted model, not a curated record.